UACAGAGGGGGCAAGCGUUGUUCGGAAUUACUGGGCGUAAAGGGCCAGUAGGCGGCCAACUAAGUCGGAUGUGAAAUCCCCAGGCUCAACCUGGGAACUGCAUCCGAUACUGGAUGGCUUGAAUUCGGGAGAGGGAUGCAGAAUUCCAGGUGUAGCGGUGAAAUGCGUAGAUAUCUGGAGGAAUACCGGUGGCGAAGGCGGCAUCCUGGACCGACAUUGACGCUGAACGGCGAAAGCUAGGGGAGCAAACGGG
This 253-nucleotide ribosomal RNA is filed under the name uncultured bacterium. Its description in RNAcentral is "partial 16S ribosomal RNA". It matches the Rfam family "Bacterial small subunit ribosomal RNA", at positions 524 to 776 of the family's 1533-position model. The record is from RNAcentral.